GUCCAGCUGACGAGUCCCAAAUAGGACGAAACGCGCGUCCUGGAU
Molecule: non-coding RNA, 45 nt
Organism: Schistosoma mansoni
Lineage: Eukaryota; Metazoa; Platyhelminthes; Trematoda; Strigeidida; Schistosomatidae
Source: Rfam